Molecule: ribosomal RNA, 497 nt
Filed under: uncultured bacterium
Lineage: Bacteria
Description: partial 16S ribosomal RNA
Rfam family: Bacterial small subunit ribosomal RNA
Source: RNAcentral
GAUGAACGCUGGCGGCGUGCCUAAUACAUGCCAGUCGAGCGAACGGACGAGAAGCUUGCUUCUCUGAUGUUAGCGGCGGACGGGUGAGUAACACGUGGAUAACCUACCUAUAAGACUGGGAUAACUUCGGGAAACCGGAGCUAAUACCGGAUAAUAUUUUGAACCGCAUGGUUCAAAAGUAAAAGACGGUCUUGCUGUCACUUAUAGAUGGAUCCGCGCUGCAUUAGCUAGUUGGUAAGGUAACGGCCUACCAAGGCAACGAUGCAUAGCCGACCUGAGAGGGUGAUCGGCCACACUGGAACUGAGACACGGUCCAGACUCCUACGGGAGGCAGCAGUAGGGAAUCUUCCGCAAUGGGCGAAAGCCUGACGGAGCAACGCCGCGUGAGUGAUGAAGGUCUUCGGAUCGUAAAACUCUGUUAUUAGGGAAGAACAUAUGUGUAAGUAACUGUGCACAUCUUGACGGUACCUAAUCAGAAAGCCACGGCUAACUACGUG